Ailuropoda melanoleuca (giant panda) is the source of this 291-nucleotide long non-coding RNA. RefSeq lists it as uncharacterized. Lineage: Eukaryota; Metazoa; Chordata; Mammalia; Carnivora; Ursidae. The record is from RefSeq and is a predicted model, not a curated record. The transcript is spliced from 3 exons.
CUGAAAACCCACUAGUGCUAGGCCAGGGCCAGGAAAACCGAGACUCACCUAAUACAUCUUCCCAAACAAAGUUCACAGGGUGGGGUGAGCCAUGUCAUUCAGGCUUGGCGUGGCCAGGAAAAAUAUGGAAAGGAAGAGGAUCACAGAGAUUCCAGAAGUCUUCCCACACCGACUUUCCUCUGGGGUAUAAAUUAAUGUAAAACGGAUCCUGGACCAGAAAAAUUCCUAGAGCGCCAGCAAGAAACAAAUGUAAAGUUCUCCAUAGCAAGACUGCCACAAUUUCCAGCUCCC